Molecule: small RNA, 243 nt
Filed under: Ictidomys tridecemlineatus (thirteen-lined ground squirrel)
Lineage: Eukaryota; Metazoa; Chordata; Mammalia; Rodentia; Sciuridae
Description: 7SK RNA (ENSSTOG00000018870.2)
Rfam family: 7SK RNA
About the family: 7SK was discovered as an abundant small nuclear RNA in the mid-70s but a possible function has only recently been suggested. Two independent studies have found that 7SK RNA binds the CDK9/cyclin T complex (known as elongation factor P-TEFb).
Source: RNAcentral
UUGAGGGCCGUCUGGCUGUGACAUGUCACCUCAUUUAUCACCAGGGUUGUUUCUGCUGAUCUGACUAGAUGGUGUCCCUUCCUCCUUCACUACUCUAUGUGUGUCUUGCCUGAAGCUGCAAACUGAGGAUGAUCUUCCCCAGUAGAGGAAGCCCGUUCUCUGGUCAAGAAUUUAGAGUAGCUGUGCUUCCCUGCUAGAACCUCCAAACAGGCUCUGAAAUGAUCACUUGCUGAUAUCUUCCUC